GGAGUCUGGACCGUGUCUCAGUUCCAGUGUGGGGGACCUUCCUCUCAGAACCCCUAGACAUCGUCGCCUUGGUGGGCCGUUACCCCGCCAACCAGCUAAUGUCACGCGAGCCAAUCCGUAUCCGCCGUAACUUUCAAACACUCCCCAUGCGAAGAAUGUUGUUAUGGGGUAUUAGGCGACGUUUCCAUCGGUUAUCCCCCUGAUACGGGUAUGUUGCUCACGCGUUACGCACCCUUCCGCCGGUCGCCGCCAGGUAUUGCUACCCGCGCUGCCCCGCGACUUGCAUGUGUUAAGCCUGCCGCUAGCGUUCAUC
Molecule: ribosomal RNA, 313 nt
Filed under: uncultured Bacteroidales bacterium
Lineage: Bacteria; Pseudomonadati; Bacteroidota; Bacteroidia; Bacteroidales
Description: partial 16S ribosomal RNA
Source: RNAcentral